This is a long non-coding RNA of Trifolium pratense (red clover), 619 nucleotides long. RefSeq lists it as uncharacterized. The record is from RefSeq and is a predicted model, not a curated record. NCBI's taxonomy places the organism in Eukaryota, Viridiplantae, Streptophyta, Magnoliopsida, Fabales, Fabaceae. The transcript is spliced from 2 exons.
UAAUAUUUAUCGAAAAUAUGUUUUUAAAGGACGGGAAUACACACUGGUAUAUAAUAGACAAACAACUACAAGGCAUGCCCAGUUCCACCUAGUGAAUCAAACACUACACAUUGGAAACAUUAUCUGCUAGAAAGUAAAAACCAUGGGAGAUGUGGUAGAAAACAAAGAAUGGUACUUGAUUUCUUAGUGUCCUGAAGGUCUUCCAACCUCAGAUCAUUUCAAACUCCGCACUGUCUCUCUUUCUCUUGCCUUUGAUUCAAUCCCUGAUAACCAUCUCGCUGUUGAAACACUCCUUCUCACCCUCGAUCCUUAUAUUCGUGGAAGACUCACCGGUACCUUAGAAGGCCUUUUUGCUUCACAAUUUGAACUUAACCAGGUGAUUACAGCAUUUGGAGUUUUAAGGGUAAUUAGAUCAAAGGAUAGUAAAUACAGUGAGGGAGAUCUUCUACUGAAUCUAUCUGCAACAGUUGCCUGCAACAGUUGCUGAGUACAGUAUUGUACCAUCUUCUCACAUAAUUGGAAAAGAGAAAUGUUUCCUAGACACAAAUUUGAAACACAGACCAAACAAAUAUACGGUCGGUAUAUCAUUUUCACUUUUUAAAUAAUAUAUUUUCUUCAU